CUCACUUUGGUAGGAGAUAUACUAAAAUUGCAACGAUAGAGAGAUUACCACAGCCCCUGCCCAAGGAUGACAUGCAAAUUCAUGAAGCGUUCCAUAUCUUU
This is a small nuclear RNA of Loxodonta africana (African savanna elephant), 101 nucleotides long. The record is from Ensembl. Lineage: Eukaryota; Metazoa; Chordata; Mammalia; Proboscidea; Elephantidae.